UAAUUCCUGCGAUAUUAGUGAUAUUAUUUUGUUUUCAGAACUAAGAAAUAAUCGGGAGUAGAACGGUUUGUGGCACACCAGCCGAAUGCGAUUCGGACUUGUAAAAUAGAUUGGUGAAACACCCACUUUGAAGGUGGUUUCCGAAAACAAUAAUACACGGUAUCGCGGGUUAUAA
RNAcentral lists this non-coding RNA (175 nucleotides) under Candidatus Cloacimonadota bacterium. RNAcentral's name for it is "6S RNA". It matches the Rfam family "6S / SsrS RNA". Rfam says of the family: E. coli 6S RNA was the first non coding RNA to be sequenced, but its function was unknown until recently. It consists of 184 nucleotides that fold into an extended hairpin structure with a large single-stranded internal bulge. The 6S RNA specifically associates with RNA polymerase holoenzyme containing the sigma70 specificity factor. Lineage: Bacteria; Pseudomonadati; Candidatus Cloacimonadota. The record is from RNAcentral.